GCAUGCGUGGCUCAGUGGUUAGGGCUCCCGUUUUGAAUUUCGGGUCUUGGGUUCAAACCCUCCUGGUGCA
Non-coding RNA from Caenorhabditis brenneri, 70 nucleotides. The record is from the annotation of a GenBank genome assembly. NCBI's taxonomy places the organism in Eukaryota, Metazoa, Nematoda, Chromadorea, Rhabditida, Rhabditidae.